AGAGGGUGAAACUCCCGUCCGCCUGGUAGAAUGAGUCUUUGUUCAACGAAGUCGAGUUGUUUUGGGUAGUUGUCAGCUCUAAUUUGGUUGGUAAAUUACUAUCUAAAGACUAAAUAAUUGGUGGGAGACCGAUAGCGUACAAGUACCGUGAGGGAAAGGAAUGCAAAGAACUUUGAAAAGAAGGGUUAAAGAAGUACCUGAAAUUAGCUGAAACGGAAGCGAAGGAAACCAGUGUUUGUUGGUUCAUAUUUCCUUGGCCACUUGUGGUUUGGGCACUGUGAGCUUGCGUGGGUUUGGGUUGGUUGAUCCCUUUUGAAGAGCGCAGUCAGAGUUGAUGUCU
RNAcentral lists this ribosomal RNA (340 nucleotides) under Pseudo-nitzschia fraudulenta. RNAcentral describes it as "partial large subunit ribosomal RNA". It matches the Rfam family "Eukaryotic large subunit ribosomal RNA", at positions 207 to 544 of the family's 3401-position model. The record is from RNAcentral. Lineage: Eukaryota; Bacillariophyta; Bacillariophyceae; Bacillariales; Bacillariaceae.